RNAcentral lists this ribosomal RNA (481 nucleotides) under uncultured bacterium. RNAcentral's name for it is "bacterial SSU rRNA". It matches the Rfam family "Bacterial small subunit ribosomal RNA", at positions 329 to 802 of the family's 1533-position model. The record is from RNAcentral.
GUACUUACUCCUACGGGAGGCAGCAGUGGGGAAUUUUGGGCAAUGGGGGCAACCCUGAUCCAGCAAUGCCGCGUGUGUGAAGAAGGUCUUCGGAUUGUAAAGCACUUUAAGUUGGGAGGAAGGGCAUUAACCUAAUACGUUAGUGUCUUGACGUUACCGACAGAAUAAGCACCGGCUAACUCUGUGCCAGCAGCCGCGGUAAUACAGAGGGUGGAAGCGUUAAUCGGAAUUACUGGGCGUAAGGCGCGCGUAGGUGGUUUGUUAAGUUGAAUGUGAAAUCCCCGGGCUCAACCUGGGAACUGCAUCCAAAACUGGCAAGCUAGAGUAUGGUAGAGGGUAGUGGAAUUUCCUGUGUAGCGGUGAAAUGCGUAGAUAUAGGAAGGAACACCAGUGGCGAAGGCGACUACCUGGACUGAUACUGACACUGAGGUGCGAAAGCGUGGGGAGCAAACAGGAUUAGAUACCCUAGUAGUCCAGGCAU